CCCGGUGUAACGGUGGAAUGUGUAGAUAUCGGGAAGAACACCAAUGGCGAAGGCAGGUCUCUGGGCCGUUACUGACGCUGAGGAGCGAAAGCGUGGGGAGCGAACAGGAUUAGAUACCCUGGUAGUCCACGCCGUAAACGGUGGAUGCUGGAUGUGGGGCCCGUUCCACGGGUUCCGUGUCGGAGCUAACGCGUUAAGCAUCCCGCCUGGGGAGUACGGCCGCAAGGCUAAAACUCAAAGAAAUUGACGGGGGCCCGCACAAGCGGCGGAGCAUGCGGAUUAAUUCGAUGCAACGCGAAGAACCUUACCUGGGCUUGACAUGUUCCCGACGAUCCCAGAGAUGGGGUUUCCCUUCGGGGCGGGUUCACAGGUGGUGCAUGGUCGUCGUCAGCUCGUGUCGUGAGAUGUUGGGUUAAGUCCCGCAACGAGCGCAACCCUCGCCCCGUGUUGCCAGCGGAUUAUGCCGGGAACUCACGGGGGACCGCCGGGGUUAACUCGGAGGAAGGUGGGGAUGACGUCAGAUCAUCAUGCCCCUUACGUCCAGGGCUUCACGCAUGCUACAAUGGCCGGUACAACGGGAUGCGACAGUGCGAGCUGGAGCGGAUCCCUGAAAACCGGUCUCAGUUCGGAUCGCAGUCUGCAACUCGACUGCGUGAAGGCGGAGUCGCUAGUAAUCGCGAAUCAGCAACGUCGCGGUGAAUGCGUUCCCGGGCCUUGUACACACCGCCCGUCAAGUCAUGAAAGUGGGCAGCACCCGAAGCCGGUGGCCUAACCCCUUGCGGGAGGGAGCCGUCUAAGGUGAGGCUCGUGAUUGGGACUAAGUCGUAACAAGGUAGCCGUACCGGAAGGUGCGGCUG
Molecule: ribosomal RNA, 857 nt
Filed under: human gut metagenome
Description: bacterial SSU rRNA
Rfam family: Bacterial small subunit ribosomal RNA
Source: RNAcentral